This is an RNA transcript of Myxocyprinus asiaticus (Chinese sucker), 2355 nucleotides long. It is a transcript of the gene named FYVE, RhoGEF and PH domain containing 5b, with no coding region annotated. Lineage: Eukaryota; Metazoa; Chordata; Actinopteri; Cypriniformes; Catostomidae. The record is from RefSeq and is a predicted model, not a curated record. The transcript has 6 exons.
AUACUUUUUUUACAGCUGCUUUAGUGAUCUUGAAGGAGGUGGCCAAUCACGCCAAUGAAGUCGUAAAACAAGAGGUGGUAAAGAGUCAAAUUCUUUGUUUCUAAAUCAACUGUCAAUGUCCUUUGCUUCUUCUUGCUAAAUCUUGAGAAAUGUGAAAAUUUGUUUCAGACAUGAUAAUUCCCAAAAGCCUUAUGAUGUUCAGUGUCGCCUCACAAGCCAUCAUGUGAUUGUCCAACCAGGAAGGGUGAGUAAUUUAUUCAUUUAAUAAUAAAAGCAGUUCAUUGAGCAGUAAUAAUGCCAGGAGCAACUUUCUACAAGCAUCAGACAUUCUUCAAGCAUCUGUGGCCUUAAAUAAAGAAUUCAAUAAUUUGCAACAGUGAGUCCUUUAGAAAUAUCUGGAUGUAUUUGUCCCUAGGUUUUGUUAAAGGAGGGAAUCUUGAUGAAGCUCUCCAGGAAAGUGAUGCAGCCUCGAAUGUUCUUUUUAGUUAGUGACAAUGAUAUUCUUAUUAUAAAUUAAUACAUGUAAAUGUAAUCCUUCUGGUUUUGAUUUGAUCAUUAAAACUAUGCUAUGAUAUUAUUUGAUGAUAAUAUUUUAUUUGCCAGUGUGGUUUCUUUACAUCAGCAGAAGUCUUUUCAGAGCCAGAGAAAGUAGAUACACUUUGAUUAAUAAUUAUGAAACCAAAUAUAUUUAUAAAUAUUUUAUUGAGAAUAAUGUGCACUGACAAAUCUUGUACAAAUAAGACCAGAGACAUUUAUUAAGUAAAUAGGGUCAAUUUUGAUUUCAUGUUGACUUAAAGAACUACAUGUAGGUUGUUUUUAUGCAGGAAAAGAAACAGAAAAGCAACGACUGACCUAAAAUCACCUUCUCAGUGAUUAAGUAUCUUUUGUUUCUUUUAUUUUAUAUUUAGUAACAGUUUAAUGAUAGUCUUCUGUACUGUACGCCAGUAUCGUCAGGUCAUUUUAGACCAAACAAAGUGCACUCAUUGGCUGGGAUGAAGGUCAGUAAACACAGUCAAGAGGGCUAUCAAAAUUAGCUUAACAUUGAGAGUGUUGAACGGUCGUUCAUUCUGUCUGCCAGCUCAGCCACAUGUCGAGACGAGUGGCUUCAGGCCAUUUCUACUGCCAUUGAAGAUUACACCAAGAAAGAGACCACAUUCACCUCAAUUAGAAACCCAGAGAUGGUAAAAUGAUAGAUGCAUGGGACCUGUAACUCGGUUUAAAUCAUAACCAACUGCCCAAUAAUGUCUAGAGUGUUCUUUGUCAACUUCUGGCUCAGUGACACAUUUUUGCAGGCAACUAGAGAUGUCCCAGAUAGUGGGGCCCAGCUGGGAACCACAGCCCUGAUAUGAAUCUCAGACCUGAGAGCCACUAUGUAUAUGAUCUGCACCUGUUGUGUGUCAGGCCUGCUUAACUAACAAACAUCUGUUGAAAUACCUGACAAAUCAGCUUGCACGAGUGUGUGAUCUGUGCUUACCUAUUUUGCAGCAGAAUAGUUCAGGUUUACCACACAAACAUAUAUAGUAUAUACUGUACACCUACCUGUGUUAAGAAACAUGUUAAUCUAUCUUUUUGCUUUAUGUUUCUAAAUAUAUUUGUGGAUUUGUAUUAAUUCCAAAAUUAAUUCAUUUUUUAUAAGGAUUUGUAUUUUAUUUAUUUUUUUCAUUUUUUUGUGAUGUGUGUCUCUGUACUUAUAAUAGAUGAUCAGUCACCCAGCAGUACACCUCUAUCUCCUACUGGCAAAUCCCCUGGUGCAUAUCCCUUCAAAAAGCAGAAGAGAAUACCAGCUGCCCUUAAAGAGGUUUCAGCUAACACAGACAUGUCCUCGAUGAGUGGCUACUUAGAGAGGAGGAAAUGCAACAGGAAACAGGGGAAACGGUUCUGGUGUAUCAUCAUGAACAAAGUUCUGUACACUUAUGCUGCCAGCGAGGAUGUAGCAUCUUUGGAAAGUCAACCCCUUCUCGGAUUCUCUCCGAAAACAGAGAAGCCAGAAUCCUCACUGCAUUUUAAUCUUUACCACAAAAACACUCUUUACUACAUUUUAAGGGCAAAUGAUCCCCAGAUCUGUGAAAGGUUACUUUCUUUCUUGUAAAAAAAAAAAAAAAAAAACAACAACAACAACAAAAAAAGAAGAAAAAACAAUUAUUUCAAAAUUCAAAUAGAGGAAAUACUAUAGAAUAGACAUGUAACACUGAAACGUCAUAAUUUAAAUGUGUUCUUUUUCAUUUAAAAUUUUAUCAUUUCAUGUACAUUUUUCUUACAGAUGGAUCGAAGCAUUCGAGGAGGCCACAGUUCUCUGAUGUUGUGAUAUUUCUAUUACCAUCAGACCAGACUUCCAUGCAAAAGAUACAUACUCAC